GCCCAACCUGGACAAAGGCAGGAUAUUCAGGAAUCUCCAGAAGAAUUAGACAUCCUGUCUUAUAGAUGCUUAUUCAUAAAAGAGUGGGGAGAGCCUGAAGGUGUAAAAUGUGUUAUUUGCCACCUUUAAAACUUCUCCAUGGUGCUGAGAGGUCCAUCAGUCAAACUGCCACAUUUUACAGAUGAGGUUGAGCUGAAAGCCUGACCCACCGCGUGCUCCAGCGCAGCCUUCUCAGGGUUCGGCUUUGGAGUGGGGAGUGCGGUACAAGGCCUUACCGGGCAUUUGCUCAGCUAAAAAUAAAGCGAAGCUGGCUUCUGUCUGCUAUCACUCCUUAUACGUAUACAGCUAGCUGCUCAGAAAACUUGAAAAUGAACUAUUUAGCUGGACAAGAGGUAGGACUAAGGCCAUCCUCUACAAAGUGAUCUACCUCCUCCUCAGGUUUUUAUACAUUUCCACUUGUUGCCCCUACUGACUGCAAAAUCUGGAAGCAACAAGGAAUCCUUCCACCACAUAAGGUGUGAAAGAGGGAGAUGGUUCUGAAACUUGUGUGAUACUUACAUACCCUCUUUGUCACAUAUGGCCAUGUACUAGUACACUGAGUGACUUCUCCAAACAUGUGGAUAAGGAAGGCGCGUAAGAGAGAAAAACCCCUUCUAUACCUCAACCUGGUUGCCAGUGGCUUCAGGUGAAAGUGGCUGGGGUAGGUGGACAAACUGACGUGCUUGUAAAUCUUAAAUCAAUGGUUUUCAAACUCAGGCAUGCAUCAGAAGCACCUGGAGGACUUGUUAAAACAUGGAUUGCUGGCACCUCCCUGGAGUUUCUGAUUCAUGAGGUCAUGGGGCCUGAGAAUUUGCAUUUCUAGCAAGUUCCCAGGUGAUGCAUCUACUGCCGCUCUGAGAACGCACGUUGAGAACCACUGCUCUAAAGAAUACACUAUGAAGUUCAAAACAACUAAAUUUUACUUUUAUUUCCAGGGAAAGAAAAGGACCACAAAUAUAUUUUAUAAAUUAUUUUAGUGUUUCUUUAAAAUAAUUUAUUCUUUUUUAAAAAUGAGGUAUACACUACCAAAAAAGUAUCUUUUUAUCAAGUAAGUAGUUCCAAUCAAGUUUUUCAAACUUAAUUACACACUGCUAUUUAAUUGUUAUUAACGUCAUGGUCUUAAGAUUUGCGAGUUAGAAGAAAUUCCAGUUGGUAUCAAUGGACUUCCAUAUGCAAUAUAUGCACAGAAUAUGAAAAACUAUUUUCAAAUAUUAUUGAUAUGGUGCACAUCUCUAUACAAGUUGUUUCUGUAGAUCUAAGACAACUAUUUUCUUUUUAUGGUAAUUUAAUUUUUCUAGGUUACUGGUAAUACUUGAUAUUAUUCUACUUUGCUUCUUCAAACAGGAUGAGGAAAGCAUUUUAUAAAUCCCUUUAAAAUUAAAGCCAGAGAGCCCAUCAUCUUUUGAAGCACUUCCACAGGUGCGAACUGGUUCAAACUUUUUGGAGAGAACUUUACCAAUAUGUAUCACAACCCCUAAAAGCUUUCAGAUGCUUUGACUCAUUAAUUCAUCUUCCAGAAACCAGUCUGGAGGGAAUAAUCUGACAGAAGGUUUAAGCACAAAAACGUUCAUCACUGCAUUAUCUAUAAUAACAAAACCUGUAGACUCAGUUAUCACAAUAGGGGAUUCACUGAGUAUCAAGCUAUGAUUUCAAUAUACGUUGGCAUAUUUAGCAGCUCUUAAAAAUGAAGAAUUAUUAGCAGCACGAGAAAAUACUUAUAAUAUUAAGGGGAAAAAAGGAGACUUAAAAAAUUUAGAUAUUGGCUGGGCGCGGUAGCUCACACCUGUAAUCCCAGCACUUUGGGAGGCUGAGGUGGGUGGAUCACCUGAGGUCAGGAGUUCAAGCCCAGCCUGGCCAACAUGGCAAAACCCCGUUUCUACUAAAAAAUAAAAAAAUUAGCCAAGAAUGGUGGUAAGCAUCUGUAAUCUCAGCUACUCGGGAGGCUCAGACAGGAGAAUCACUUGAACUCCGGAGGAAGAGUUUGCAGUGAGCCGAGACGGAGCCACUGCACUCCAGCCUGAGUGACAGAGCAAGACUCCAUCUCAAAAACGAAACAAAAACAAAAAAAUUUAGAUAUUGUUUACCUUCAACUCUGUAGCCACAAAAAGUGUAUACUGAAAAAAGACUGAAAGCAAAACAAUAUAUUGACAUGAGUCAACA
Molecule: long non-coding RNA, 2199 nt
Filed under: Homo sapiens (human)
Lineage: Eukaryota; Metazoa; Chordata; Mammalia; Primates; Hominidae
Description: non-protein coding lnc-SUMO4-5:1
Source: RNAcentral